This 282-nucleotide unclassified non-coding RNA is filed under the name Hevea brasiliensis (rubber tree). The record is from RNAcentral. Lineage: Eukaryota; Viridiplantae; Streptophyta; Magnoliopsida; Malpighiales; Euphorbiaceae.
AAUCUUCCUACGAUUUCAAGUUCUUUUGGAUUAUAGCACGCAAUAGACUGAUUAGUGUCCUAUUCACUAUCUCAGUUUGUCCAUUAGUCUGUUGAUGACAAAUAGUGAAAAACAGAAGUUUAGUGCCUAACUUACUCCAUAAGACUUUUCAAAAAUGACUUGGGAACUUAACAUCUCUAUGACUAACUAUCGUCUUAGGUAUGCCAUGCAAUUUGACAACCUCCCGAAAGAACAAAUCAGCAAUAUGAGUGGCAUCACCAGUUUUAUGGCAUGGAAUGAAAU